AACGAACGCUGGCGGCAUGCCUAACACAUGCAAGUCGAACGAGACCUUCGGGUCUAGUGGCGCACGGGUGCGUAACGCGUGGGAACCUGCCCUUAGGUUCGGAAUAACUCCCCGAAAGGGGUGCUAAUACCGGAUAAUGUCUUCGGACCAAAGAUUUAUCGCCUUUGGAUGGGCCCGCGUUGGAUUAGCUAGUUGGUAGGGUAAAAGCCUACCAAGGCGACGAUCCAUAGCUGGUCUGAGAGGAUGAUCAGCCACACUGGGACUGAGACACGGCCCAGACUCGGACGGGAGGCAGCAGUGGGGUAUAUUGGACAAGGGGCGAAAGCCUGAUCCAGCAGUGCCGCGUGAGUGAUGAAGGCCUUAGGGUUGUAAAGCUCUUUUACCCGGGAUGAUAAUGACGGUACCGGGAGAAUAAGCUCCGGCUAACUCCGUG
RNAcentral lists this ribosomal RNA (433 nucleotides) under uncultured bacterium. RNAcentral's name for it is "partial 16S ribosomal RNA". It matches the Rfam family "Bacterial small subunit ribosomal RNA", at positions 29 to 507 of the family's 1533-position model. The record is from RNAcentral.